AUUGAACGCUGGCGGCAGGCCUAACACAUGCAAGUCGAGCGGGUGAGGGUAGCUUGCUACCUGAUUCAGCGGCGGACGGGUGAGUAAUGCCUAGGAAUCUGCCUGGUAGUGGGGGACAACGUUUCGAAAGGAACGCUAAUACCGCAUACGUCCUACGGGAGAAAGUGGGGGAUCUUCGGACCUCACGCUAUCAGAUGAGCCUAGGUCGGAUUAGCUAGUUGGUGGGGUAAAGGCUCACCAAGGCGACGAUCCGUAACUGGUCUGAGAGGAUGAUCAGUCACACUGGAACUGAGACACGGUCCAGACUCCUACGGGAGGCAGGCAGUGGGGAAUAUUGGACAAUGGGCGCAAGCCUGAUCCAGCCAUGCCGCGUGUGUGAAGAAGGUCUUCGGAUUGUAAAGCACUUUAAGUUGGGAGGAAGGGCGGUAAGUUAAUACCUUGCUGUUUUGACGUUACCGACAGAAUAAGCACCGGCUAACUCUGUGCCAGCAGCCGAC
RNAcentral lists this ribosomal RNA (497 nucleotides) under uncultured bacterium. Its description in RNAcentral is "bacterial SSU rRNA". It matches the Rfam family "Bacterial small subunit ribosomal RNA", at positions 30 to 518 of the family's 1533-position model. The record is from RNAcentral.